RNAcentral lists this ribosomal RNA (292 nucleotides) under uncultured bacterium. RNAcentral describes it as "partial 16S ribosomal RNA". The record is from RNAcentral.
GGACUACCCGGGUAUCUAAUCCUGUUUGCUCCCCACGCUUUCGCGCUUGAGCGUCAGGUACAAGCCAAGAAGCUGCCUUCGCAACCGGUAUUCCUCUCGAGAUCUACGCAUUUUACCGCUACUCCGAGAAUUCUACUUCUCUCUCUUGCCCUCUAGCCCGCCAGUUUUAAUUGCCUUUCCCCGGUUGAGCCAAGGUCUUUAACAAUUAACUUAACAGGCCGCCUACACGCUCUUUACGCCCAGUAAUUCCGAAUAACGCUUGCACCCUUCGUAUUACCGCGGCUGCUGGCAC